RNAcentral lists this ribosomal RNA (253 nucleotides) under uncultured bacterium. RNAcentral's name for it is "partial 16S ribosomal RNA". It matches the Rfam family "Bacterial small subunit ribosomal RNA", at positions 524 to 776 of the family's 1533-position model. The record is from RNAcentral.
UACGGGGGGGGCAAGCGUUGUUCGGAAUUACUGGGCGUAAAGGGCUCGUAGGUGGCCAACUAAGUCACACGUGAAAUCCCUCGGCUUAACCGGGGAACUGCGUGUGAUACUGGAUGGCUUGAGUUUGGGAGAGGGAUGCGGAAUUCCAGGCGUAGCGGUGAAAUGCGUAGAUAUCUGGAGGAACACCGGUGGCGAAGGCGGCAUCCUGGACCAAUACUGACGCUGAGGCGCGAAAGCUAGGGGAGCGAACGGG